UACGUAGGGGGCAAGCGUUGUCCGGAUUUAUUGGGCGUAAAGAGCGUGUAGGCGGCUUUACAGGUCCGUUGUGAAAACUCGAGGCUCAACCUCGAGACGCCGGUGGAAACCGUAAAGCUAGAGUCCGGAAGAGGAGAGUGGAAUUCCUGGUGUAGCGGUGAAAUGCGCAGAUAUCAGGAGGAACACCAAUUGCGAAGGCAGCACUCUGGGACGUGACUGACGCUGAGACGCGAAAGCGUGGGGAGCGAACAGG
This 253-nucleotide ribosomal RNA is filed under the name uncultured bacterium. RNAcentral describes it as "partial 16S ribosomal RNA". It matches the Rfam family "Bacterial small subunit ribosomal RNA", at positions 524 to 776 of the family's 1533-position model. The record is from RNAcentral.